This 269-nucleotide ribosomal RNA is filed under the name uncultured prokaryote. RNAcentral describes it as "partial 16S ribosomal RNA". It matches the Rfam family "Bacterial small subunit ribosomal RNA", at positions 524 to 792 of the family's 1533-position model. The record is from RNAcentral.
UACGGAGGGUGCAAGCGUUGUUCGGAUUUACUGGGCGUAAAGAGCGUGUAGGUGGUUUAACAAGUCAGAUGUGAAAGCCCUGGGCUCAACUCAGGAAGUGCAUUUGAAACUGUUUUUCUAGAGUAUGGGAGAGGAGAGUGGAAUUCCCAGUGUAGAGGUGAAAUUCGUAGAUAUUGGGAGGAACACCGGUGGCGAAGGCGACUCUCUGGACCAAUACUGACACUGAGACGCGAAAGCGUGGGGAGCAAACAGGAUUAGAUACCCCCGUA